This 265-nucleotide ribosomal RNA is filed under the name uncultured bacterium. RNAcentral's name for it is "partial 16S ribosomal RNA". It matches the Rfam family "Bacterial small subunit ribosomal RNA", at positions 355 to 611 of the family's 1533-position model. The record is from RNAcentral.
UGAGGAAUAUUGCGCAAUGGUCGCAAGACUGACGCAGCAACGCCGCGUGAGGGAUGAAGUACUUCGGUAUGUAAACCUCUGUUAGAAGGGAAGAACGGGUGGAUGUCGAACAGGCAUUCAUCGUGACGGUACCUUCAGAGAAAGCCCCGGCUAACUCCGUGCCAGCAGCCGCGGUAAUACGGGGGGGGCAAGCGUUGUCCGGAAUUAUUGGGCGUAAAGGGCGCGUAGGUGGGACAGCAAGUCUGGGGUGCAAUCUUACGGCUUA